UGAGUAAUGCCUAGGAAAUUGCCCUGAUGUGGGGGAUAACCAUUGGAAACGAUGGCUAAUACCGCAUGAUGCCUACGGGCCAAAGAGGGGGACCUUCGGGCCUCUCGCGUCAGGAUAUGCCUAGGUGGGAUUAGCUAGUUGGUGAGGUAAGGGCUCACCAAGGCGACGAUCCCUAGCUGGUCUGAGAGGAUGAUCAGCCACACUGGAACUGAGACACGGUCCAGACUCCUACGGGAGGCAGCAGUGGGGAAUAUUGCACAAUGGGCGCAAGCCUGAUGCAGCCAUGCCGCGUGUGUGAAGAAGGCCUUCGGGUUGUAAAGCACUUUCAGUCGUGAGGAAGGUAGUGUAGUUAAUAGCUGCAUUAUUUGACGUUAGCGACAGAAGAAGCACCGGCUAACUCCGUGCCAGCAGCCGCGGUAAUACGGAGGGUGCGAGCGUUAAUCGGAAUUACUGGGCGUAAAGCGCAUGCAGGUGGUUUGUUAAGUCAGAUGUGAAAGCCCGGGGCUCAACCUCGGAAUUGCAUUUGAAACUGGCAGACUAGAGUACUGUAGAGGGGGGUAGAAUUUCAGGUGUAGCGGUGAAAUGCGUAGAGAUCUGAAGGAAUACCGGUGGCGAAGGCGGCCCCCUGGACAGAUACUGACACUCAGAUGCGAAAGCGUGGGGAGCAAACAGGAUUAGAUACCCUGGUAGUCCACGCCGUAAACGAUGUCUACUUGGAGGUUGUGGCCUUGAGCCGUGGCUUUCGGAGCUAACGCGUUAAGUAGACCGCCUGGGGAGUACGGUCGCAAGAUUAAAACUCAAAUGAAUUGACGGGGGCCCGCACAAGCGGUGGAGCAUGUGGUUUAAUUCGAUGCAACGCGAAGAACCUUACCUACUCUUGACAUCCAGAGAACUUUCCAGAGAUGGAUUGGUGCCUUCGGGAACUCUGAGACAGGUGCUGCAUGGCUGUCGUCAGCUCGUGUUGUGAAAUGUUGGGUUAAGUCCCGCAACGAGCGCAACCCUUAUCCUUGUUUGCCAGCGAGUAAUGUCGGGAACUCCAGGGAGACUGCCGGUGAUAAACCGGAGGAAGGUGGGGACGACGUCAAGUCAUCAUGGCCCUUACGAGUAGGGCUACACACGUGCUACAAUGGCGCAUACAGAGGGCAGCCAACUUGCGAAAGUGAGCGAAUCCCAAAAAGUGCGUCGUAGUCCGGAUUGGAGUCUGCAACUCGACUCCAUGAAGUCGGAAUCGCUAGUAAUCGUGGAUCAGAAUGCCACGGUGAAUACGUUCCCGGGCCUUGUACACACCGCCCGUCACACCAUGGGAGUGGGCUGCAAAAGAAGUAGGUAGUUUAACCUUCGGGGGGACGCUUACCACUUUGUGGUUCAUGACUGGGGUGAAGUCGUAACAAGGUAGCGCUAGGGGAACCUGGCGCUGGAU
RNAcentral lists this ribosomal RNA (1420 nucleotides) under Vibrio parahaemolyticus. RNAcentral describes it as "bacterial SSU rRNA". It matches the Rfam family "Bacterial small subunit ribosomal RNA". Lineage: Bacteria; Pseudomonadati; Pseudomonadota; Gammaproteobacteria; Vibrionales; Vibrionaceae. The record is from RNAcentral.